RNAcentral lists this ribosomal RNA (188 nucleotides) under uncultured bacterium. RNAcentral describes it as "partial 16S ribosomal RNA". It matches the Rfam family "Bacterial small subunit ribosomal RNA", at positions 1311 to 1500 of the family's 1533-position model. The record is from RNAcentral.
CUCGCCUGCAUGAAGUCGGAAUUGCUAGUAAUCGCGGAUCAGCAUGCCGCGGUGAAUACGUUCUCGGGCCUUGCACACACCGCCCGUCACACCAUGGGAGUCGGUAACACCCGAAGUCUGUAGCCUGACGCAAGAGGGCGCAGCCGAAGGUAGAAUCAAUGAUUGGGGUGAAGUCGUAACAAGGUAUC